GGCAGCGUAGCUCAGUGGUAGAGCAGGGGACUCAUAAGCCCUUGGCCGCAGGUCCGAAUCCCGCCGCUGCCACCA
Molecule: transfer RNA, 75 nt
Filed under: Chloroflexi bacterium RBG_16_51_9
Lineage: Bacteria; Bacillati; Chloroflexota
Description: tRNA-Met
Rfam family: tRNA
About the family: Transfer RNA (tRNA) molecules are approximately 80 nucleotides in length. Their secondary structure includes four short double-helical elements and three loops (D, anti-codon, and T loops). Further hydrogen bonds mediate the characteristic L-shaped molecular structure. tRNAs have two regions of fundamental functional importance: the anti-codon, which is responsible for specific mRNA codon recognition, and the 3' end, to which the tRNAs corresponding amino acid is attached (by aminoacyl-tRNA synthetases). tRNAs cope with the degeneracy of the genetic code in two manners: having more than one tRNA (with a specific anti-codon) for a particular amino acid; and 'wobble' base-pairing, i.e. permitting non-standard base-pairing at the 3rd anti-codon position.
Source: RNAcentral